RNAcentral lists this ribosomal RNA (327 nucleotides) under uncultured Acidobacteriota bacterium. RNAcentral describes it as "bacterial SSU rRNA". It matches the Rfam family "Bacterial small subunit ribosomal RNA", at positions 32 to 351 of the family's 1533-position model. Lineage: Bacteria; Pseudomonadati; Acidobacteriota. The record is from RNAcentral.
AAUCAACGCUGGCGGCGUGCCUAACACAUGCAAGUCGAACGAGAAAGCGGGGGCAACCCUGCGAGUACAGUGGCAGACGGGUGAGUAACACGUGAACAACCUACCCUUGAGUGGGGAAUAACACCGCGAAAGCGGUGCUAAUACCGCAUAAAAUCUUCGGGUCGCAUGACGUGGAGAUCAAAAGCGCAAGUUGCUUGAGGAGGGGUUCGCGGCUGAUUAGCUAGUUGGUGAGGUAACGGCCCACCAAGGCAACGAUCAGUAGCCGGCCUGAGAGGGCGAACGGCCACACUGGAACUGGGACACGGUCCAGACUCCUACGGGAGGCAG